RNAcentral lists this ribosomal RNA (619 nucleotides) under uncultured bacterium. Its description in RNAcentral is "bacterial SSU rRNA". It matches the Rfam family "Bacterial small subunit ribosomal RNA", at positions 338 to 1533 of the family's 1533-position model. The record is from RNAcentral.
CCUACGGGAGGCAGCAGUGAGGAAUAUUGGACAAUGGGCGCAAGCCUGAUCCAGCCAUGCCGCGUGCAGGAAGAAGCAUCUAUGGUGUGUAAACUGCUUUUGUACAGGAAGAAACACUCCCUCGUGAGGGAGCUUGACGGUACUGUAAGAAUAAGGACCGGCUAACUCCGUGCCAGCAGCCGCGGUAAUACGGAGGGUCCGAGCGUUAUCCGGAAUCAUUGGGUUUAAAGGGUCCGUAGGCGGUUUAAUAAGUCAGUGGUGAAAUCUGGUCGCUCAACGAUCAAACGGCCAUUGAUACUGUUAGACUUGAAUUAUAAGGAAGUAACUAGAAUAUGUAGUGUAGCGGUGAAAUGCUUAGAUAUUACAUGGAAUACCAAUUGCGAAGGCAGGUUACUACUUAUGGAUUGACGCUGAUGGACGAAAGCGUGGGGAGCGAACAGGAUUAGAUACCCUGGUAGUCCACGCCGUAAACGAUGGAUACUAGCUGUUCGGAGCAAUCUGAGUGGCUAAGCGAAAGUGAUAAGUAUCCCACCUGGGGAGUACGUUCGCAAGAAUGAAACUUANAAGAGUAGUACGGCGUGAGAGUAGCGACGGACGACCACCAGGGAGGGUUAGGAGG